UACGUAGGGUGCAAGCGUUAAUCGGAAUUACUGGGCGUAAAGCGUGCGCAGGCGGUUGUGCAAGACCGAUGUGAAAUCCCCGGGCUUAACCUGGGAAUGGCAUUGGUGACUGCACGGCUAGAGUGUGUCAGAGGGGGGUAGAAUUCCACGUGUAGCAGUGAAAUGCGUAGAGAUCGGAAAGAACACCAACGGCGAAAGCACUCUGCUGGGCCGACACUGACACUGAGAGACGAAAGCUAGGGGAGCGAAUGGG
This 253-nucleotide ribosomal RNA is filed under the name uncultured bacterium. RNAcentral's name for it is "partial 16S ribosomal RNA". It matches the Rfam family "Bacterial small subunit ribosomal RNA", at positions 524 to 776 of the family's 1533-position model. The record is from RNAcentral.